UAUUAGUGCUCCUGCAUAAUACUUACUUGUAAAAUCGAUCAGGUCCGGAAGGAAGCAGUCGUAGCAGGUUAUUUGUGUGCCAGGAUGUUGUUAAUUGGA
This 99-nucleotide signal recognition particle RNA is filed under the name Candidatus Palibaumannia cicadellinicola. RNAcentral's name for it is "Candidatus Baumannia cicadellinicola Bacterial small signal recognition particle RNA". It matches the Rfam family "Bacterial small signal recognition particle RNA". From Rfam's summary of the family: The signal recognition particle (SRP) is a universally conserved ribonucleoprotein involved in the co-translational targeting of proteins to membranes. Archaeal SRP consists of a 7S RNA and homologues of the eukaryotic SRP19 and SRP54 proteins. The record is from Rfam by way of RNAcentral. Lineage: Bacteria; Pseudomonadati; Pseudomonadota; Gammaproteobacteria.